UAUUUUGCCUAGAUACCCUAAAUGUACCAGAUCCCAUCUGAUCUUGGAAGCUAAGUUGGGUCAGCUGUGGUUAGCACUUGGAUGAGAAACCACCAAGGAAUACCCAGUGCUAUAGUCC
RNAcentral lists this ribosomal RNA (118 nucleotides) under Anolis carolinensis (green anole). Lineage: Eukaryota; Metazoa; Chordata; Lepidosauria; Squamata; Anolidae. The record is from RNAcentral.